UUUCGGAGAGUUUGAUCCUGGCUCAGGACGAACGCUGGCGGCGUGCCUAAUACAUGCAAGUCGAGCGGAUUGAUGGGAGCUUGCUCCCUGAAGUCAGCGGCGGACGGGUGAGUAACACGUGGGUAACCUGCCCGUAAGACUGGGAUAACUCCGGGAAACCGGGGCUAAUACCGGAUAGUUCUUUUCCUCGCAUGAGGAAAAGUGGAAAGGCGGCUUCGGCUGCCACUUACAGAUGGACCCGCGGCGCAUUAGCUAGUUGGUGAGGUAACGGCUCACCAAGGCAACGAUGCGUAGCCGACCUGAGAGGGUGAUCGGCCACACUGGGACUGAGACACGGCCCAGACUCCUACGGGAGGCAGCAGUAGGGAAUCUUCCGCAAUGGACGAAAGUCUGACGGAGCAACGCCGCGUGA
Molecule: ribosomal RNA, 412 nt
Filed under: Rossellomorea vietnamensis
Lineage: Bacteria; Bacillati; Bacillota; Bacilli; Caryophanales; Bacillaceae
Description: bacterial SSU rRNA
Rfam family: Bacterial small subunit ribosomal RNA
Source: RNAcentral